Molecule: ribosomal RNA, 497 nt
Filed under: uncultured bacterium
Lineage: Bacteria
Description: partial 16S ribosomal RNA
Rfam family: Bacterial small subunit ribosomal RNA
Source: RNAcentral
GAUGAACGCUGGCGGCGUGCCUAAUACAUGCAAGUCGAGCGAACAGACGAGGAGUUUGCUCCUCUGACGUUAGCGGCGGAGGGGUGAGUAACACGUGGAUAACCUACCUAUAAGCCUGGGAUAACUUCGGGAAACCGGAGCUAAUACCGGAUAAUAUAUUGAACCGUAUGGUUCAAUAGUGAUAUACGGUUUUGCUGUCACUUAUAGAUGGAUCCGCGCCGCAUUAGCUAGUUGGUAAGGUAACGGCUUACCAAGGCAACGAUGCGUAGCCGACCUGAGAGGGUGAUCGGCCACACUGGAACUGAGACACGGUCCAGACUCCUACGAGAGGCAGCAGUAGGGAAUCUUCCAGAAUGGGCGAAUACCUGACGGAGCAACGCCGCGUGAGUGAGGAAGGUCUUCGGAUCGUAAAACUCUGUUAUUAGGGAAGAACAAAUGUGUAAGUAACUAUGCACGUCGUGACGGUACCUAAUCAGAAAGCCACGGCUAACUACGUG